Molecule: long non-coding RNA, 1544 nt
Filed under: Elaeis guineensis (African oil palm)
Lineage: Eukaryota; Viridiplantae; Streptophyta; Magnoliopsida; Arecales; Arecaceae
Description: long non-coding RNA (EGUI_LNC021178)
Source: RNAcentral
UAGUUUUUAGAUAAAAACUAAAAACGGCGUAUCAGAUCCGUGAACUCAGCAAAUCAGCACCGUCCAUCUGGCCCGGUCCCAUCACCUCCCCACCUAUAUAUACCCCCUCCCUCCUCUCCCCUCGUCGGAACCGGGUACCGUAUACCAUCAGCAUAUACCAUCACCACAACCUAAUUUAAGUAAUCAAUCACCUCUUCUCAAAAAAAAAGCAAUCCAUCACCGAUGUCGGAGGAGCACCGCCACCACCACCACUUCCACCACCACAAGGAGGAGGAAAAGCCCGUGGAGACGGUGGAGUACUCGGAGACGGCCUACACCACCGGCAGUGGCGGCUACGGUGGCGAUGGCGGAUACAACGCCGGCUACGGCGGCGAUGGCGGAUACAAAGCUGGCUACGGCGGCGAUGGCGGAUACACCACUGGGUACGCCGAGAAAACGGAGAUGGUCUCGGGGUCCAACGAAGAGGAUUACGAGAAGUAUGAGAAGGAGGAGAAGCACCACAAGCACAAGGAGCAUCUCGGCGAGAUGGGCGCGCUAGCCGCCGGUGCCUUCGCUCUGGUAUUAUUCAUCUCACCACUUAACUUGUUCCCGUUGAGCACCACACCGUCCUCCUCCUCAUCUUUUUUGUCGGGUACCGAGGAAAUCCAUGAAAGCUAGACUGGUAUUCACCAUGCUUGGCAUGCGUCCACGACUUCUAGGGUCCACCAAAAGGACGAAAGACACGUGCCCCCACGACAUACCUAUUUCAAGAUCGUCAUGGACCGUUAUAACGGAAAUAACGGGCCUUUUAUAGCCUGGAUUUGUGAAGAUGAAAUGAUAACUUUUAUAAAGGCUAUUAUUAUUGGCUAUAAUCAUCAUUAUAUAUAUAUAUAUAUAUAUUGGCUAUAAGAGAAAAUGAAAGAUGAUAAUUGUUAAGGAAACAACAGUGUUCUUUUCAUUAUAAUCAUAUUUUAUUUUUUCUCGAUUGGAAAUUAACCAUUAUGAUUUGGGUAAUGAUUUUAUUACAACUAAUCUUUCAGUAUGAGAAGCAUGAGGCCAAGAAGGAUCCGGAGCAUGCACACAAGCAUAAGAUAGAGGAAGAGAUUGCUGCGGCAGCCGCGGUGGGCAGCGGAGGGUAUGCGUUUCAUGAGCACCAUGAGAAGAAGGAAGCUAAGGAGGAAGCUGAGGAAUCUCAUGGAAAGAAGCAUCAUCACCUCUUCUAAAGUGGAUGGAAGAACUUUUGUUUUUCCCUGUAUCUUUAUAUGCUCCUUUCUGUUUCUAUGGUAUGUAAGCUGGCAUGGGAUUGAAAAUAUGGUGUUUAGCGUGAUGUAUUUUGGUCUGACAGUCUGACACCUAAAUAAGUGCCGGUUUGUUCUGGCCUUAUGAUGUAGGGUAUAUAUUUUGGUGGUGUGAACCUGCUCUGUUUAUAUUUGCGUGCAUUUUUAUUCUUGAAGAUUUUAUUUUUUUUUUUUUUUUUUGUACUGGGUUUUUGUGAUAAUACUGAGGCGGUGUUUUGUUUUAGUACUAAUGCAACUAAAGUACAAAAUGUGACGACACCAUGAUCU